GACGAACCGUGCGAACGUUAUUCGGAAUCACUGGGCUUAAAGCGCGUGUAGGCGGAUGAGCACGUCUGUCGCUGAAAUCCCCCGGCUCAACCGGGGAACGGGCGCGGAUACGGCUCGUCUCGAGGGGCGUAGGGGGACCUGGAACUUCCGGUGGAGCGGUGAAAUGCGUUGAGAUCGGAAGGAACGCCCGUGGCGAAAGCGAGGUCCUGGACGCCUACUGACGCUGAGACGCGAAAGCCAGGGGAGCGAACGGGG
RNAcentral lists this ribosomal RNA (255 nucleotides) under uncultured bacterium. RNAcentral's name for it is "partial 16S ribosomal RNA". It matches the Rfam family "Bacterial small subunit ribosomal RNA", at positions 524 to 777 of the family's 1533-position model. The record is from RNAcentral.